GACGAACGCUGGCGGCGUGCUUAACACAUGCAAGUCGAACGGAGUUUAGGUCAGUAGUUUACUACAGAUUUAAACUUAGUGGCGGACGGGUGAGUAACACGUGGGCAACCUGCCCUAAAGAGGGGGAUAACACCGAGAAAUCGGUGCUAAUACCGCAUAAAAUUAGAGCUUCGCAUGGAGCUUUAAUCAAAGGAGUAAUCCGCUUUAGGAUGGGCCCGCGUCUGAUUAGCUAGUUGGUGAGGUAGAGGCUCACCAAGGCGACGAUCAGUAGCCGAUCUGAGAGGAUGACCGGCCACACUGGAACUGAGACACGGUCCAGACUCCUACGGGAGGCAGCAGUGGGGAAUAUUGCACAAUGGGGGAAACCCUGAUGCAGCAACGCCGCGUGGAGGAAGAAGGUUUUCGGAUUGUAAACUCCUGUCUUUUGGGACGAUAAUGACGGUACCAAAAGAGGAAGCCACGGCUAACUACGUG
RNAcentral lists this ribosomal RNA (474 nucleotides) under uncultured bacterium. RNAcentral describes it as "bacterial SSU rRNA". It matches the Rfam family "Bacterial small subunit ribosomal RNA", at positions 28 to 507 of the family's 1533-position model. The record is from RNAcentral.